This 378-nucleotide transfer-messenger RNA is filed under the name Pseudonocardiaceae. Its description in RNAcentral is "Pseudonocardia sp001899645 Standard tmRNA". It matches the Rfam family "transfer-messenger RNA". From Rfam's summary of the family: Bacterial tmRNA, also known as 10Sa RNA or SsrA, is named for its dual tRNA and mRNA-like properties. Its role is to liberate the mRNA from a stalled ribosome. To accomplish this part of the tmRNA is used as a reading frame that ends in a translation stop signal. Lineage: Bacteria; Bacillati; Actinomycetota; Actinomycetes; Pseudonocardiales. RNAcentral also lists the same sequence under 2 other names. The record is from RNAcentral.
GGGGGUGAACGGUUUCGACUCUGGCCGUCGAUCAAGGGGAAGCGUGUCGAGGAAGGCGACGAUGAGCUCGUUAACCAUCCGUCGCAAAACAAUAAGUGCCGCUAAUAAGCAGCACGCGAAGUCUGAUUUCGCCCUCGCGGCCUGAUCUGACUUCGCUGUCGGCCCGGGGGCGUCCCCGCUCCGGUCGCCGGCAUCAGCUAGGGGACUCACCUGUCCGCCCGGUCACGGGGUGGGCAGGGACAGCAAACAGUGACUGGGAUCGUCACACCGUCUCGUUCGCAUGAACGGUGGAUCCGAGUAGAGGCAUAGCGGACUGCACACGGAGAAGCCCUUGUGAAGCGACAGAGGACCCGGGUUCGAUUCCCGGCACCUCCACCG